UUUCGACACACUAUCAUUAACUGAAUCCAUAGGUUAAUGAGGCGAACCGGGGGAACUGAAACAUCUAAGUACCCCGAGGAAAAGAAAUCAACCGAGAUUCCCCCAGUAGCGGCGAGCGAACGGGGAGCAGCCCAGAGCCUGAAUCAGUGUGUGUGUUAGUGGAAGCGUCUGGAAAGGCGCGCGAUACAGGGUGACAGCCCCGUACACAAAAAUGCACAUACUGUGAGCUCGAUGAGUAGGGCGGGACACGUGGUA
Molecule: ribosomal RNA, 255 nt
Filed under: Escherichia coli
Lineage: Bacteria; Pseudomonadati; Pseudomonadota; Gammaproteobacteria; Enterobacterales; Enterobacteriaceae
Description: partial 23S ribosomal RNA
Rfam family: Bacterial large subunit ribosomal RNA
Source: RNAcentral